GCCUUGGGAUAGGCUUGCGUCUUGAUUAGUUAGUUGGUGUGGUAACGGCACACCAAGGCUACGAUCAGUAACUGGUCUGAGAGGAUGAUCAGUCACACUGGAACUGAGACACGGUCCAGACUCCUACGGGAGGCAGCAGUGAGGAAUAUUGGGCAAUGCUCGAAAGAGUGACCCAGCAACGCCGCGUGGAGGAUGAAGGUAUUCUAUAUCGUAAACUCCUGUGAGAGCAGACGAAAGACAGAUUAUUAAUCUGGAUGACUGUAUGCUCAGAGGAAGCCCCGGCUAACUACGUG
RNAcentral lists this ribosomal RNA (293 nucleotides) under uncultured bacterium. Its description in RNAcentral is "partial 16S ribosomal RNA". It matches the Rfam family "Bacterial small subunit ribosomal RNA", at positions 217 to 507 of the family's 1533-position model. The record is from RNAcentral.